RNAcentral lists this ribosomal RNA (103 nucleotides) under Jaculus jaculus (lesser Egyptian jerboa). Lineage: Eukaryota; Metazoa; Chordata; Mammalia; Rodentia; Dipodidae. The record is from RNAcentral.
GUCUAUGACUAUACCACCCUGAACGCGCGUGAUCCUGUCUGAAGCUAAGCAGGGUCAGGCCUUGUUAUUACUCGGAUGGGAGAAAUUGCAACGGUUUUAGGAG